AUUGGAGGGCAAGUCUGGUGCCAGCAGCCGCGGUAAUUCCAGCUCCAAUAGCGUAUAUUAAAAUUGUUGCAGUUAAAAAGCUCGUAGUUGAAUUUCUGCUGCAUUUCAUUUCUCUUUCUGAGUUUGUUUUUGCGGCUUAUUUCGGUUUGAUUUUUUCUUUCCGGAUGAUUACUUUGAGAAAAUUAGAGUGCUCAAAGCAGGCUUUUGCCUUGAAUAGUUUAGCAUGGAAUAAUAGAGUAGGACUUUGGUUCUAUUUUGUUGGUUUUAGGUACCAAAGUAAUGGUUAAUAGGAACAGUUGGGGGCAUUCGUAUUUAACUGUCAGAGGUGAAAUUCUUAGAUUUGUUAAAGACGAACUACUGCGAAAGCAUUUGCCAAGGAUGUUUUCAUUAAUCAAGAACGAAAGUUAGGGGAUCGAAGACGAUCAGAUACCGUCGUAGUCCUAACCAUAAACUAUGCCGACUAGAGAUUGGAGGUCGUCAGUUUUUGCGACUCCUUCAGCACCUU
RNAcentral lists this ribosomal RNA (505 nucleotides) under Theileria orientalis. RNAcentral's name for it is "SSU rRNA". It matches the Rfam family "Eukaryotic small subunit ribosomal RNA", at positions 547 to 1089 of the family's 1831-position model. The record is from RNAcentral. Lineage: Eukaryota; Apicomplexa; Aconoidasida; Piroplasmida; Theileriidae.